RNAcentral lists this unclassified non-coding RNA (240 nucleotides) under soil metagenome. RNAcentral describes it as "partial contains 5.8S ribosomal RNA, internal transcribed spacer 2, and large subunit ribosomal RNA". The record is from RNAcentral.
AACUGAUACUACCUGCGGGAACCUGCGGAAGGAUCAUUAUCGAGUGUGACCCCCCUGUAAAAAAGGGGGUACCUCCCGUCCUUUUGCUAGGCCCUCCCCCUCCAAAAUUUUUUUUGACAGGGGGAAGCUUUUUCAAACCUUCUGCUUCGGUGGGUUUUAAACCCCACCGGAACAACCUCAAAAAUUCUUUAUAAUUGUUCUGUCCGAGAAAAAUUUUAUAAAAUGAAAAAACUUUCAACA